CCUACGGGUGACAGCAGUGAGGAAUAUUGGUCAAUGGCCGAGAGGCUGAACCAGCCAAGUCGCGUGAGGGAAGACGGCCCUACGGGUUGUAAACCUCUUUUGUCGGGGAGCAAAGCGAGUCACGUGUGACUCAUUGAGAGUACCCGAAGAAAAAGCAUCGGCUAACUCCGUGCCAGCAGCCGCGGUAAUACGGAGGAUGCGAGCGUUAUCCGGAUUUAUUGGGUUUAACGGGUGCGCAGGCGGAGGUGCAAGUCAGCGGUAAAAUUGCGGGGCUCAACCCCGGACUGCCGUUGAAACUGCAUCCCUUGAGUGCGCGAGAAGUAGGCGGAAUGCGUGGUGUAGCGGUGAAAUGCAUAGAUAGCACGCAGAACUCCGAUUGCGAAGGCAGCAUACCGGCGCGCAACUGACGCGCAUGCACGAAAGCGUGGGUAUCGAACAGGAUUAGAUACCCCAGUAGUC
Molecule: ribosomal RNA, 459 nt
Filed under: uncultured bacterium
Lineage: Bacteria
Description: partial 16S ribosomal RNA
Rfam family: Bacterial small subunit ribosomal RNA
Source: RNAcentral